Molecule: ribosomal RNA, 587 nt
Filed under: Aspergillus niger
Lineage: Eukaryota; Fungi; Ascomycota; Eurotiomycetes; Eurotiales; Aspergillaceae
Description: eukaryotic LSU rRNA
Rfam family: 5.8S ribosomal RNA (bases 243-396)
Source: RNAcentral
UGGAAGUAAAAGUCGUAAUCAAGGUUUCCGUAGGUGAACCUGCGGAAGGAUCAUUACCGAGUGCGGGUCCUUUGGGCCCAACCUCCCAUCCGUGUCUAUUGUACCCUGUUGCUUCGGCGGGCCCGCCGCUUGUCGGCCGCCGGGGGGGCGCCUCUGCCCCCCGGGCCCGUGCCCGCCGGAGACCCCAACACGAACACUGUCUGAAAGCGUGCAGUCUGAGUUGAUUGAAUGCAAUCAGUUAAAACUUUCAACAAUGGAUCUCUUGGUUCCGGCAUCGAUGAAGAACGCAGCGAAAUGCGAUAACUAAUGUGAAUUGCAGAAUUCAGUGAAUCAUCGAGUCUUUGAACGCACAUUGCGCCCCCUGGUAUUCCGGGGGGCAUGCCUGUCCGAGCGUCAUUGCUGCCCUCAAGCCCGGCUUGUGUGUUGGGUCGCCGUCCCCCUCUCCGGGGGGACGGGCCCGAAAGGCAGCGGCGGCACCGCGUCCGAUCCUCGAGCGUAUGGGGCUUUGUCACAUGCUCUGUAGGAUUGGCCGGCGCCUGCCGACGUUUUCCAACCAUUCUUCCAGGUGACCUCGAUCAGGUAGGAUC